CCUACGGGGUGCUGCAGUGGGGAAUAUUGGACAAUGGGCGAAAGCCUGAUCCAGCCAUGCCGCGUGUGUGAAGAAGGCCUUCGGGUUGUAAAGCACUUUCAGUGGGGAAGAAAGCCUUGGGGCUAAUACCCUCGAGGAAGGACAUCACCCACAGAAGAAGCACCGGCUAACUCCGUGCCAGCAGCCGCGGUAAUAUGGAGGGUGCGAGCGUUAAUCGGAAUUACUGGGCGUAAAGCGCGCGUAGGCGGUCUGAUAAGCCGGUUGUGAAAGCCCCGGGCUCAACCUGGGAACGGCAUCCGGAACUGGCAGGCUAGAGUGCAGGAGAGGAAGGUAGAAUUCCCGGUGUAGCGGUGAAAUGCGUAGAGAUCGGGAGGAAUACCAGUGGCGAAGGCGGCCUUCUGGACUGACACUGACGCUGAGGUGCGAAAGCGUGGGUAGCAAACAGGAUUAGAUACCCUAGUAGUC
Molecule: ribosomal RNA, 465 nt
Filed under: Vreelandella stevensii
Lineage: Bacteria; Pseudomonadati; Pseudomonadota; Gammaproteobacteria; Oceanospirillales; Halomonadaceae
Description: partial 16S ribosomal RNA
Rfam family: Bacterial small subunit ribosomal RNA
Source: RNAcentral